GCAAGUCGAGCGGACCUUCGGGUCAGCGGCGGACGGGUGAGGAACACGUGAGUGAUCUAUCGAUGAGUGGGGGAUAUCGGGCCGAAAGGCGCGGCAAUCCCGCAUACGUUCCUACGGGAAGAAAGCUGGGCAACUGGCGCUCAUCGCGGAGCUCGCGGCCCAUUAGCUAGUUGGGGGGGUAACGGCCUACCAAGGCGACGAUCGGUAGCUGGUCUGAGAGGACGAUCAGCCACACUGGGACUGAGACACGGCCCAGACUCCUACGGGAGGCAGCAGUGGGGAAUUUUUCGCAAUGGGGGCAACCCUGACGAAGCAAUGCCGCGUGGAUGAAGAAGGUCUUCGGGUUGUAAAGUCCUUUCGUGGGGGACGAAAAGGCGGAUCCGAAUACGGUCUGCUGUUGACGUGAACCCAAGAAGAAGCACCGGCUAACUCCGUGCCAGCAGCCGCGGUAAUACGGAGGGUGCGAGCGUUAAUCGGAAUUACUGGGCGUAAAGGGCGCGUAGGCGGUGGGUUACGUCCGCCGUGAAAUCCCCGGGCUCAACCUGGGAAUGGCGGUGGAAACGGGCUGACUGGAGUAUGGGAGAGGGUGAUGGAAUUCCAGGUGUAGCGGUGAAAUGCGUA
RNAcentral lists this ribosomal RNA (621 nucleotides) under uncultured Acidithiobacillus sp. RNAcentral describes it as "bacterial SSU rRNA". It matches the Rfam family "Bacterial small subunit ribosomal RNA", at positions 57 to 692 of the family's 1533-position model. The record is from RNAcentral. Lineage: Bacteria; Pseudomonadati; Pseudomonadota; Acidithiobacillia; Acidithiobacillales; Acidithiobacillaceae.